RNAcentral lists this small RNA (51 nucleotides) under Plasmodium falciparum 3D7. RNAcentral's name for it is "Pfa-rasR6950". The record is from RNAcentral. Lineage: Eukaryota; Apicomplexa; Aconoidasida; Haemosporida; Plasmodiidae.
AUACCUGCAGCAUCACCUGCUUCAAUACCCGCAGCCAAAAUCUCAGCAGCA